This 438-nucleotide ribosomal RNA is filed under the name uncultured bacterium. Its description in RNAcentral is "bacterial SSU rRNA". It matches the Rfam family "Bacterial small subunit ribosomal RNA", at positions 28 to 477 of the family's 1533-position model. The record is from RNAcentral.
GACGAACGCUGGCGGCGUGCAUAACACAUGCAAGUCACGGGGGCCAGCAAUGGCAACCGGCGAACGGGUGCGUAACACGUAAGCGACCUACCUCGAUGUGGGGCAUAGCCGGCCUAACGGCCGGGUAAUUCCGCAUGUGAUCCUUGAGGGGCAUAUCUCGGGGAUGAAACCAGUAAUGGGCAUUGAGAGGGGCUUGCGGCCUAUCAGCUUGUUGGCGGGGUAACGGCNCACCAAGGCGACGACGGGUAGCUGGUCUGAGAGGAUGGCCAGCCACAUUGGGACUGAGAAACGGCCCAGACUCCUACGGGAGGCAGCAGUGGGGAAUCUUGCGCAAUGGCCUAACGGCUGACGCAGCGACGCCGCGUGGGGAUGAAGCAUUUCGGUGUGUAAACCCCUGUUGCCCGGGACGAAUCCACCUUUUCGAGGGUGUUGACGGUA